AAUCAAUCAAUCUUCACUAUGAAAUGGCCACAACAUGUGUGAGUGUUGAAAAAUAGCUGGACAGGCGUUGAGUACGAAAUGUUCUUCGUCACGUUUUAAAAAAAAUUACUCUAAAAUACAAAUAGUGAAUGAUAUCCUUGUGUGCCAAAUGGGUCUGACUGGCCAUAUUCUGCGGGUGUUCUUUCGGUCCCAUUUUAAACCAAUAAGCCGUAAAAAAGCAGAGAAAGGUUAUUUCUAUUCUACUACACUUUAUUUUAUUACUGCAUGGACUUGUUUCGGAUAUGCAGUGUAUCAUUAUACCCAAGAGUAUGAAAAUAUAAAAGACUCGCCUUAUGCUCAUGGCAAACUAUUUACAGCUUAUGAUAUGGCAAAGAGAUUUGGAGCUGAGAAGGAAAACACAAUUAUAGAAAUAACUGGAUGGGGAAAGUAUGAAAAGGAAAAACUUUCGCACCAAGAAUUAGUAGAAAAGCAGUCUGCUUCAUAGUAUUUAACUGUGCAUAACAUAUCUGUGCGUAUAUUGUAGGUAUCAAUUGUAAAUAAAGAUUAUAAGUUUA
Long non-coding RNA from Uloborus diversus, 554 nucleotides. RefSeq lists it as uncharacterized. NCBI's taxonomy places the organism in Eukaryota, Metazoa, Arthropoda, Arachnida, Araneae, Uloboridae. The transcript has 3 exons. The record is from RefSeq and is a predicted model, not a curated record.